AAAUUGCAGCGAAUAUUUCCACUCAGUCUUUUUGAUUCAAUGGAGCACUAAAUGAUUUAUUUGCCUUGUGAUGCAACGGUUUGUGGUCCCGUUCUAUAUCGAUGGAUGUAUUCAUUUGAAAGGUUCCUAAACAAAAUAAAGAAGACUAUCAAAAAAAUAUAUCUAGAGUGAUGGCAAAAAAAAAGAGACAAUAUUCGGUGAAUAUAUGAUAAAGAAGUUGUUGCAGCACAGUUGCAUGUUCUUAUUAAUUAUGAUGAGGUUAAGCCUUUUCUGAAAUGUCAGGUACAAGAUUGAACAGGGUAAGACAACCUCACAGUAAAAGAGAAAAUUAAGUAAAAGAAGGACACGUACAGUAGAGCGACAAACAGUUAAACUGCAUGCUAUAAUCCCACCGUGAGCCCUACAAUCUCGUAUUGGUCCACUUCAUGUCAAUGGAUAUUCAAUGCAUCAACAUAAUCUUGAAGUGCAUCAAUCUCUAUCAAAUAACAAUAAGUUUCGACCUCCCAUAAUCCCAAUACGAUCCCUCUAUAAUACUUUGAAAGUCUAAAGCCUAAUCUAGAGUAUAAUAUGAGACUCUAGGAGUAGUAACACUGUUUUAAGGUCAAUUAUAAUGUAUAUAAGUCAUUUAGGAAUUUUUAGAAU
Molecule: long non-coding RNA, 642 nt
Organism: Solanum pennellii
Lineage: Eukaryota; Viridiplantae; Streptophyta; Magnoliopsida; Solanales; Solanaceae
Exons: 4
Source: RefSeq, a predicted model, not a curated record